UUGAUGUUUACAAUUUUUUAAUACUUAUACGUUUAGAAUGCGUAUAAAAUGAUAAUAAUCUGUUGAAUAAUAUAAUUUAAUGAAUGAAAAUGAUUGAAUAAAUAAAUUUAAGUGUUUGGUGCUUUUGCUUUUAAAAAUAUCACAGCCGAACUCAUUAUUAUUUCUCUAACCAAUUAAAUUUACUUUUUAUAGUUUUUUUAACAAAUUU
RNAcentral lists this long non-coding RNA (208 nucleotides) under Ananas comosus (pineapple). Its description in RNAcentral is "long non-coding RNA (ACOM_LNC025183)". Lineage: Eukaryota; Viridiplantae; Streptophyta; Magnoliopsida; Poales; Bromeliaceae. The record is from RNAcentral.